RNAcentral lists this ribosomal RNA (404 nucleotides) under uncultured bacterium. RNAcentral's name for it is "bacterial SSU rRNA". It matches the Rfam family "Bacterial small subunit ribosomal RNA", at positions 355 to 775 of the family's 1533-position model. The record is from RNAcentral.
UAGGGAAUAUUGCACAAUGGGCGAAAGCCUGAUGCAGCAACGCCGCGUGCACGAUGAAGGCCUUCGGGUUGUAAAGUGCUUUUCUGGAGGACGAGGAAGGACGGUACUCCAGGAAUAAGGAUCGGCUAACUACGUGCCAGCAGCCGCGGUAAAACGUAGGAUCCGAGCGUUAUCCGAAUUCACUGGGCGUAAAGCGCGUGCAGGCGGCCUAGUAAGUUGGAUGUGAAAUCUCCUGGCUCAACUGGGAGAGGACGUUCAAGACUGCCCGGCUCGAGGACGGUAGAGGGAGGUAGAAUUCCCGGUGUAGUGGUGAAAUGCGUAGAUAUCGGGAGGAAUACCAGUGGCGAAGGCGGCCUCCUGGACCGUACCUGACGCUCAGACGCGAAAGCUAGGGGAGCAAACGG